GGCGGCGUGCCUGAUACAUGCAAGUCGAACGCUUCUUUUUCCACCGGAGCUUGCUCCACCGGAAAAAGAGGAGUGGCGAACGGGUGUGUAACACGUGGGUAACCUGCCCAUCAGAAGGGGAUAACACUUGGAAACAGGUGCUAAUACCGUAUAACAAUCGAAACCGCAUGGUUUUGAUUUGAAAGGCGCUUUCGGGUGUCGCUGAUGGAUGGACCCGCGGUGCAUUAGCUAGUUGGUGAGGUAACGGCUCACCAAGGCCACGAUGCAUAGCCGACCUGAGAGGGUGAUCGGCCACAUUGGGACUGAGACACGGCCCAAACUCCUACGGGAGGCAGCAGUAGGGAAUCUUCGGCAAUGGACGAAAGUCUGACCGAGCAACGCCGCGUGAGUGAAGAAGGUUUUCGGAUCGUAAAACUCUGUUGUUAGAGAAGAACAAGGAUGAGAGUAACUGUUCAUCCCUUGACGGUAUCUAACCAGAAAGCCACGGCUAACUACGUGCCAGCAGCCGCGGUAAUACGUAGGUGGCAAGCGUUGUCCGGAUUUAUUGGGCGUAAAGCGAGCGCAGGCGGUUUCUUAAGUCUGAUGUGAAAGCCCCCGGCUCAACCGGGGAGGGUCAUUGGAAACUGGGAGACUUGAGUGCAGAAGAGGAGAGUGGAAUUCCAUGUGUAGCGGUGAAAUGCGUAGAUAUAUGGAGGAACACCAGUGGCGAAGGCGGCUCUCUGGUCUGUAACUGACGCUGAGGCUCGAAAGCGUGGGGAGCAAACAGGAUUAGAUACCCUGGUAGUCCACGCCGUAAACGAUGAGUGCUAAGUGUUGGAGGGUUUCCGCCCUUCAGUGCUGCAGCUAACGCAUUAAGCACUCCGCCUGGGGAGUACGACCGCAAGGUUGAAACUCAAAGGAAUUGACGGGGGCCCGCACAAGCGGUGGAGCAUGUGGUUUAAUUCGAAGCAACGCGAAGAACCUUACCAGGUCUUGACAUCCUUUGACCACUCUAGAGAUAGAGCUUCCCCUUCGGGGGCAAAGUGACAGGUGGUGCAUGGUUGUCGUCAGCUCGUGUCGUGAGAUGUUGGGUUAAGUCCCGCAACGAGCGCAACCCUUAUUGUUAGUUGCCAUCAUUCAGUUGGGCACUCUAGCAAGACUGCCGGUGACAAACCGGAGGAAGGUGGGGAUGACGUCAAAUCAUCAUGCCCCUUAUGACCUGGGCUACACACGUGCUACAAUGGGAAGUACAACGAGUCGCGAAGUCGCGAGGCUAAGCUAAUCUCUUAAAGCUUCUCUCAGUUCGGAUUGCAGGCUGCAACUCGCCCGCAUAAAGCCGGAAUCGCUAGUAAUCGCGGAUCAGCACGCCGCGGUGAAUACGUUCCCGGGCCUUGUACACACCGCCCGUCACACCACGAGAGUUUGUAACACCCGAAGUCGGUGAGGUAACCUUUUGGAGCCAGCCGCCUAAGGUGGGAUAGAUGAUUGGGGUGAAGUCG
Molecule: ribosomal RNA, 1478 nt
Filed under: uncultured organism
Description: SSU rRNA
Rfam family: Bacterial small subunit ribosomal RNA
Source: RNAcentral